GAGUUGAUCCUGGUCAGGACGAACGCUGCAUGCUACUCAAUCGAGGGACUAAGAAAGGUUGAUGUAGGGGACGGUACAGUGCACCGCCCUCAAGCUGGACAACUACCGGAACGUGUAUACCGAAUAGUGUUUUUUUUCCUGAAGAAACUGAAAGACGGAGCAAUCUGUCACUUGGGGAUGGGCCUGCGGCGCAUUAGCUAGUUGGUGGGGUAACGGCUCACAAGGGACGAUGCGUAGCCGACCUGAGAGGGUGAUCGGCCACACUGGGACUGAGACACGGCCAGACUCCUACGGGAGGCAGCAGUAGGGAAUCUUCCGCAAUGGGCGAAAGCCUGACGGAGCAAUGCCGCGUGAGUGAUGAAGGUUUUCGGAUCGUAAAGCUCUGUUGCCAGGGAAGAACGCUUGGGAGAGUAACUGCUCUCAAGGUGACGGUACCUGAGAAGAAAGCCCCGGCUAACUACGUGCCAGCAGCCGCGGUAAUACGUAGGGGGCAAGCGUUGUCCGGAAUUAUUGGGCGUAAAGGCGGUGUUUAUCCGGGGUCAACCCCGUCCUGGAAACUGGGUGACUUGAGUGCAGAAGAGGAGAGGAUGACGAAAUGCGUAGAUAUGUGGAGGAACACCAGGCGAAGGCGACU
RNAcentral lists this ribosomal RNA (634 nucleotides) under Paenibacillus taichungensis. RNAcentral describes it as "bacterial SSU rRNA". It matches the Rfam family "Bacterial small subunit ribosomal RNA", at positions 9 to 726 of the family's 1533-position model. Lineage: Bacteria; Bacillati; Bacillota; Bacilli; Caryophanales; Paenibacillaceae. The record is from RNAcentral.